GCAUUAAUGGGGUAGUGGUAACCUGGGUCGUUGCCAUUAAACCGUCUCGACCCGCCGGGGGUUCGAUUCCCUCUUAAUGCA
This is a non-coding RNA of Phlegmacium glaucopus, 81 nucleotides long. The record is from the annotation of a GenBank genome assembly. Lineage: Eukaryota; Fungi; Basidiomycota; Agaricomycetes; Agaricales; Cortinariaceae.